UCACAGCCAAUAUUGAUACCC
Molecule: microRNA, 21 nt
Filed under: Schistosoma mansoni
Lineage: Eukaryota; Metazoa; Platyhelminthes; Trematoda; Strigeidida; Schistosomatidae
Description: sma-miR-2f-3p
Gene: sma-miR-2f-3p
Source: miRBase by way of RNAcentral